UAGUAACAGAUUCCAUCAAGUUGUGUGUUAACUUCUGUACAUGAGUCCAAAAUAUUCCACUCAUGUCCUCAUGUUAUCACAAUUGAGAAUAUACCCAAAUACAUUGCUUUCGAAAAAUGUGUUAAUAUAUGAAAUGUUACUCACCUUAAAAAUGUCCUCUGUGCUAUAUUUGUUCAGCCUAGAGCGCCUCUAAUAUACAGUCUGAAUGAUCUGAUUUUGUUAUGCGGGUGGGGGACGAUUGUUGAAAUCCUGCACUCAAGGUGGGGAAAAAUUAAGCCAAUUUCAUUAAGUCACCAUAACUUGAAUUUUGUUUUAAAUCAAUGAAUGCAGAAAUUUGAGUUGAAAUUACACACAAUAUAAGGUUGAUGUAAUGACCAACAUUAUUAUGUCAACACAACUCAUUAAAGGUCCAGUGUGUAAUAUGUACUCCGCACUCCGCCGCUCACCCCUCCCCUUCCUGAGACUUUGGCGAGGUUCCAGAAGCUACGGUGGCCUUCAAGGACAAGAAGCUAUUUGCUGAAGAUGUCAUCGUCCACAAGCUCACAAAGUCAAGUACCGGAGGUUAGAGGGACAGGAAGAGGGCGAGUUAGCGGUGCUGCUGCAGGCAGGACCAGGCGAGGGAGGAGAGCAAACACCGGCACCGCGGAAGAUGGGGGAAGAGGCUGGAAACCUCCCCAAAGGGCCGAAGCGAUUGAGCAUGAUAAUGCACCAUGUCACAAAGCUAAAAUGUCUCAAACUGGUUUCAUGAACAUGACAAUGAGUCCAGUGUACUUCAGUGGCCUCCCCAGUCACCAGAUCUGAACCCAGUAGAGCAGCUUUGGGAUGUGGUAGAACAGGAGAUUCACAGCAUGAAUGUGCAGCUGACAAAUCUGCAGAAAUGAUGAGAUGCAAUCAUGUCGACAUGGACCAGAAUCUCAAAUGAAUGUUUCCAACAUCUGGUGGAAUCCUGCAACCAAGAAUUGAGGCUGUUUUGGGAGCAAAGGGAGGCCCUGCCCAGUAUUAGUGUGGUGUUCCUAAUAAAGUGCUCGCUGAGUGUAUAUUCCUUCAUUCACAGUUAUACAGGAAGUACUUAUUAAUAAUUAAUCAAUUAUCAGGUCGUCCCUUAUUUGUAAUUUCUUUUAUCUUUGGUAACUUAGUAUUUCAUGUAACUUAUUGUAAAAUGUUAAAAACACAAACGUUAGCAGCUCUACUCUGGAUGAUAUUUCAUGUGUUAGUGAAUGAAAUAUUGAUUGUGGUUGUAAUGUAUUCUUGUGGACAGCAGCAGGUAGUUUGUUGGUUUGGACAGCAGGUGGUGCUGCUGCAUCAACAACGAGCUGACACUCAAACAUACAACAGUGUGUUUUAGUCUCACAGGGAGACAAGCUGGGUUCAAACCUGUGACAUGGACACAACUCCAAUAAAUUUACAUGAAUAUCAGCUGUGAAACAGGAAGCUUUGACAUUUUAUGAACCUCUUCUAAUCCAGUUUCCACCUUAUAUUUCCCCUUCAGUAGCUUUAAGGUUGUAAAACUGCUGCGGCAGCUGGAUUAGAUUCAGUGUUGAAGUAAAACAUCAAACCAUCAUCUUUGUUUUCUUUAUUUCCACUGAUCCAUUUACUCAAGUACUGUACUUUACUACAA
Thunnus maccoyii (southern bluefin tuna) is the source of this 1618-nucleotide long non-coding RNA. RefSeq lists it as uncharacterized. The record is from RefSeq and is a predicted model, not a curated record. Lineage: Eukaryota; Metazoa; Chordata; Actinopteri; Scombriformes; Scombridae. The transcript has 3 exons.